AAAUUGAAGAGUUUGAUCAUGGCUCAGAUUGAACGCUGGCGGCAGGCCUAACACAUGCAAGUCGAACGGUAACAGGAAGAAGCUUGCUUCUUUGCUGACGAGUGGCGGACGGGUGAGUAAUGUCUGGGAAACUGCCUGAUGGAGGGGGAUAACUACUGGAAACGGUAGCUAAUACCGCAUAAUGUCGCAAGACCAAAGAGGGGGACCUUCAGGCCUCUUGCCAUCGGAUGUGCCCAGAUGGGAUUAGCUAGUAGGUGGGGUAACGGCUCACCUA
This 274-nucleotide ribosomal RNA is filed under the name Escherichia coli. RNAcentral's name for it is "partial 16S ribosomal RNA". It matches the Rfam family "Bacterial small subunit ribosomal RNA", at positions 1 to 271 of the family's 1533-position model. The record is from RNAcentral. Lineage: Bacteria; Pseudomonadati; Pseudomonadota; Gammaproteobacteria; Enterobacterales; Enterobacteriaceae.